Molecule: ribosomal RNA, 253 nt
Filed under: uncultured bacterium
Lineage: Bacteria
Description: partial 16S ribosomal RNA
Rfam family: Bacterial small subunit ribosomal RNA
Source: RNAcentral
UACGUAGGGUGCAAGCGUUGUCCGGAAUCAUUGGGCGUAAAGCGCGUGUAGGCGGCUUGUUAAGUCCGCUCUGAAAGCCCGGGGCUCAACCCCGGGAGGCGGGUGGAUACUGGCAAGCUCGAGUCCGGAAGAGGCGAGUGGAAUUCCCGGUGUAGCGGUGAAAUGCGCAGAUAUCAGGAGGAACACCGGUGGCGAAGGCGGGUCUCUGGGCCGAUACUGACGCUGAGGAGCGAAAGCGUGGGGAGCGAACAGG